RNAcentral lists this ribosomal RNA (522 nucleotides) under Clostridium botulinum. RNAcentral describes it as "bacterial LSU rRNA". It matches the Rfam family "Bacterial large subunit ribosomal RNA", at positions 1 to 520 of the family's 2925-position model. Lineage: Bacteria; Bacillati; Bacillota; Clostridia; Eubacteriales; Clostridiaceae. The record is from RNAcentral.
AAUUUUAAGGUCAAGCUACAAAGGGCGCAUGGUGAAUGCCUUGGCACUAGGAGCCGAAGAAGGACGCGAUAAGCUGCGAUAAGCCUUGGGUAGCCGCAAAUAGGCUGAGAUCCAGGGAUUUCCGAAUGAGGAAACUCACAUGGGUAACCCCAUGUAUUAUGCACUGAAUACAUAGGUGUAUGAGGGUAAACCCGGGGAACUGAAACAUCUAAGUACCCGGAGGAAGAGAAAGAAAAUCGAUUUCCUAAGUAGCGGCGAGCGAACGGGAAAGAGCCCAAACCAGAAACUUGUUUCUGGGGUUGUGGAUAGAUCAUAAAAGAAGAGGUAUCUUAAUCGAAGAGGGCUGGAACGCCCUACCAUAGAAGGUAAUAGUCCUGUAGAUAAAAAGAGAAAACUUCGAGAUCUAAUCCAGAGUACCACGAGACACGUGAAACCUUGUGGGAAGCAGGGAGGACCACCUCCCAAGGCUAAAUACUACCUAGUGACCGAUAGUGAAGCAGUACCGUGAGGGAAAGGUGAAAA